Molecule: ribosomal RNA, 417 nt
Filed under: Klebsiella pneumoniae
Lineage: Bacteria; Pseudomonadati; Pseudomonadota; Gammaproteobacteria; Enterobacterales; Enterobacteriaceae
Description: partial 23S ribosomal RNA
Rfam family: Bacterial large subunit ribosomal RNA
Source: RNAcentral
UCUGAAUAUGGGGGGACCAUCCUCCAAGGCUAAAUACUCCUGACUGACCGAUAGUGAACCAGUACCGUGAGGGAAAGGCGAAAAGAACCCCGGCGAGGGGAGUGAAAAAGAACCUGAAACCGUGUACGUACAAGCAGUGGGAGCACCUUCGGGUGUGACUGCGUACCUUUUGUAUAAUGGGUCAGCGACUUAUAUUCUGUAGCAAGGUUAACCGUAUAGGGGAGCCGCAGGGAAACCGAGUCUUAACUGGGCGUUAAGUUGCAGGGUAUAGACCCGAAACCCGGUGAUCUAGCCAUGGGCAGGUUGAAGGUUGGGUAACACUAACUGGAGGACCGAACCGACUAAUGUUGAAAAAUUAGCGGAUGACUUGUGGCUGGGGGUGAAAGGCCAAUCAAACCGGGAGAUAGCUGGUUCUCC